Molecule: long non-coding RNA, 371 nt
Organism: Erinaceus europaeus (western European hedgehog)
Lineage: Eukaryota; Metazoa; Chordata; Mammalia; Eulipotyphla; Erinaceidae
Exons: 2
Source: RefSeq, a predicted model, not a curated record
GGCCUGGCACUGGCUGGGGUCACCCACAUCUCCUGGGCCAGAGCCUGCUGUCCCCGCAUAUCUAGGACAUGGUGUUGCAACAUGUUCCCUUGCACCAGGUGACAUCCCAGGCCCAGCUCCAGGCAUCAGGGCUCUGCAGCAAACACACCCAGGAGCAGACAGCCCACUGAAGGCAGAGGAGGGGACAUACUACCCCACAUGACAUCAUGGACAGGUUCCUGGAAAGUGCAAACAAGGAAGCCAGAGGGACAGAAGUUAAAAGACAGGAACAGAGUGAAGAUCUUAUGACAGAUUUUGGGAGCCAAGAACAUACUCCAACUCCUAGAGACCCCAAAACAGUUCUAAUAUAAAACCCUCAUCCAGAUCAUUCA